CAACACCGGGUGAAGGAUGAAGGCCUUCGGGUUGUAAACUUCUGUUCUAAGGGAAGAAAGAAAUGACGGUACCUUAGGAGCAAGCCCCGGCUAACUACGUGCCAGCAGCCGCGGUAAUACGUAGGGGGCAAGCGUUAUCCGGAAUUAUUGGGCGUAAAGAGUGCGUAGGUGGUUACCUAAGCGCAAGGUUUAAUUUAGAGGCUCAACCUCUACUUGCCUUGCGAACUGGGCUACUUGAGUGCAGGAGGGGAAAGCGGAAUUCCUAGUGUAGCGGUGAAAUGCGUAGAUAUUAGGAGGAACACCAGCGGCGAAGGCGGCUUUCUGGACUGUAACUGACACUGAGGCACGAAAGCGUGGGUAGCAAACAGGAUUAGAUACCCUGGUAGUCCACGCCGUAAACGAUGAGCACUAGGUGUUGGGUCCGUUAGGACUCAGUGCCGCAGUUAACGCAAUAAAGUGCUCCGCCUGGGGAGUACGCUCGCAAGAGUAAAACUCAAAGGACUAGACGGGGACCGCACAAGCAGC
Molecule: ribosomal RNA, 525 nt
Filed under: Mogibacterium pumilum
Lineage: Bacteria; Bacillati; Bacillota; Clostridia; Peptostreptococcales; Anaerovoracaceae
Description: bacterial SSU rRNA
Rfam family: Bacterial small subunit ribosomal RNA
Source: RNAcentral